Molecule: ribosomal RNA, 341 nt
Filed under: uncultured soil bacterium
Lineage: Bacteria
Description: bacterial SSU rRNA
Rfam family: Bacterial small subunit ribosomal RNA
Source: RNAcentral
AGGACGAACGCUGGCGGCGUGCUUAACACAUGCAAGUCGAGCGGUAAGGCCUUUCGGGGUACACGAGCGGCGAACGGGUGAGUAACACGUGGGUGAUCUGCCCUGCACUUCGGGAUAAGCCUGGGAAACUGGGUCUAAUACCGGAUAUGACUUCAGGUUGCAUGACUUGGGGUGGAAAGAUUUUAUCGGUGCAGGAUGGGCCCGCGGCCUAUCGAGCUUGUUGGUGGGGUAAUGGCCUACCAAGGCGACGACGGGUAGCCGACCUGAGAGGGUGACCGGCCACACGUGGGACUGAGACACGGGCCCAGACUCCUACGGGACGCAGCAGGUGGGGAAUAUUG